GUUUGUUUCAGACUAUUUUAAAUGCUCUUCUGCUCUUUCUUUCUAGGUCAAACCAAAACAGCCUUUUACAGCAAUCUCCACACGUGCUGUGGAUGUUUCUGGGGGCUUUAAGUGCUCUUUUGUUCAAAAAAAGUAGGAGUGAUAUUUAUAUAUACCUGGUAAAAUGCAAAAAAAAAAAUUGGAGCCAGAAGGCGCUGGAGGGCUUUGGAAGCAAGUACUUGCACACAACCAGCCCCUCCUUCAAUGCCUACACACUCCCAUCUUGAGCAGGGAGUAACUGCAAGAGGACAAGAGGAUAAAGAACUCAUGUUACUGCAGGUUUGCACUCUGAUGUCACUGGAGAGUUACCAGCUUUGUGAUUUUUUUGGCUGUCCUUUCCAUCACUAUAAAAGUUAGCAUGAAUAUCACAACAGAAGCAAAAUGGCCCAGUUCAGAUCAAA
This 440-nucleotide long non-coding RNA is filed under the name Zonotrichia albicollis (white-throated sparrow). Its description in RNAcentral is "lncRNA (ENSZALG00000008271.1)". Lineage: Eukaryota; Metazoa; Chordata; Aves; Passeriformes; Passerellidae. The record is from RNAcentral.